RNAcentral lists this ribosomal RNA (483 nucleotides) under uncultured bacterium. Its description in RNAcentral is "bacterial SSU rRNA". It matches the Rfam family "Bacterial small subunit ribosomal RNA", at positions 33 to 507 of the family's 1533-position model. The record is from RNAcentral.
AGGAGACGCUGGCGGCGUGCCUAAUACAUGCAAGUCGAGCGGGGAGUUAUGCUUGAUCGCUUCGGUGAGACGGCAUAUAUCCUAGCGGCGGACGGGUGAGUAACGCGUGGGUAAUCUACCUCGUAGUUCGGGAUAACAGGCCGAAAGGCUUGCUAAUACCGGAUGAGUUCAUGCUUAUGCAUAUAGGCAUGAAGAAAGGGCUAGCCCGCUAUGAGAUGAGCCCGCGUCCCAUUAGCUUGUUGGUGGGGGUAAUGGCCUACCAAGGCAACGAUGGGUAGCCGGCCUGAGAGGGUGUACGGCCACACUGGGACUGAGACACGGCCCAGACUCCUACGGGGGGCAGCAGUAGGGAAUUUUCGGCAAUGGGCGAAAGCCUGACCGAGCGACGCCGCGUGAGGGACGAAGGCCUUCGGGUUGUAAACCUCUGUCUGGGGGGAUGAGAACGGACGGUACCCCCCGGAGGAAGCCCCGGCUAACUACGUG